GACGAACGCUGGCGGCGUGCUUAACACAUGCAAGUCGAGCGGAAAGGCUCCUUCGGGGGUACUCGAGCGGCGAACGGGUGAGUAACACGUGAGUAAUCUGCCCUUCACUUCGGGAUAGCUCCGGGAAACCGGGAUUAAUACCGGAUAUGACCAUGGGUUGCAUGACCUUGUGGUGGAAAGAUUUGGUUCGGUGGGGGAUGUGCUCGCGGCCUAUCAGCUUGUUGGUGGGGUAAUGGCCUACCAAGGCUUCGACGGGUAGCCGGCCUGAGAGGGUGACCGGUCACACUGGGACUGAGACACGGCCCAGACUCCUACGGGAGGCAGCAGUGGGGAAUAUUGGACAAUGGGCGGAAGCCUGAUCCAGCAACGCCGCGUGAGGGAUGACGGCCUUCGGGUUGUAAACCUCUUUCAGCACCGACGAAGCUCUUUGGGGUGACGGUAGGUGCAGAAGAAGGACCGGCCAACUACGUGCCAGCCGCCGCCGUAACAC
This 490-nucleotide ribosomal RNA is filed under the name uncultured bacterium. RNAcentral describes it as "bacterial SSU rRNA". It matches the Rfam family "Bacterial small subunit ribosomal RNA", at positions 28 to 526 of the family's 1533-position model. The record is from RNAcentral.